UCAUAUUAAUUAAAUAAAAUUAGAAGAGAAGAAAAGAUCUAAUCUAUUCAUCAGCAAAAAGUAUAGUAGGAAUAAAGAUAACUAUCCAACCUUUCAUGUGAAAGAGAAUCUAUCACCAAGAUCCCAAUGUAUAGAGAAGAAAAAGAAUUGAAGAAUAAGAAAAUUUUUUCUAUUUUAUACCUUUAAGUGGAUAGAUUAACUCUACAACUGAAGAACGUGGAAUGGUUCCUCUCCUUGUGGCCACGUAAGUGCCUGACCUCUAUGGGUAUCUAUAUAGAGUUGGAGGAUUGAUCUACAAUCAACUAAUUCUCUAGGGUGCUAGCUCUCUUGUGGAAUAUUUGCUUGAUGAAGGAUGUUCUCAAUGCCUUGAGAACAGUAGUAGGACGAUGGCUUCUUCAAGAUCCUUCUUACUGAAAUCUGAAUUUCAGCAAGACAAGGGAGAGGAGAGAGAAGCUCUGGACAUGGAGGAGAGGGAGGAGAGGGGUGGCAGCACUCUUGGGGC
This 502-nucleotide long non-coding RNA is filed under the name Elaeis guineensis (African oil palm). RNAcentral's name for it is "long non-coding RNA (EGUI_LNC052264)". The record is from RNAcentral. Lineage: Eukaryota; Viridiplantae; Streptophyta; Magnoliopsida; Arecales; Arecaceae.